RNAcentral lists this ribosomal RNA (257 nucleotides) under uncultured bacterium. RNAcentral's name for it is "partial 16S ribosomal RNA". It matches the Rfam family "Bacterial small subunit ribosomal RNA", at positions 79 to 334 of the family's 1533-position model. The record is from RNAcentral.
UCAAACCAAAAGCUGGCGACCGGCGCACGGGUGAGUAACACGUAUCCAACCUGCCUCAUACUCGGGGAUAGCCCUUCGAAAGAAAGAUUAAUAUCCGAUAGCAUAUAUUUCCCGCAUGGGUUUUAUAUUAAAGAAAUUCGGUAUGAGAUGGGGGUGCGUUCCAUUAGUUUGUUGGGGGGGUAACGGCCCACCAAGACUACGAUGGAUAGGGGUUCUGAGAGGAAGGUCCCCCACAUUGGAACUGAGACACGGUCCAA